Molecule: ribosomal RNA, 401 nt
Filed under: Nautilus pompilius
Lineage: Eukaryota; Metazoa; Mollusca; Cephalopoda; Nautilida; Nautilidae
Description: partial 16S rRNA
Rfam family: Bacterial large subunit ribosomal RNA
Source: RNAcentral
ACUGACCGUACUAAGGUAGCAUAAUAAUUUGCCUUUUAAUUGGAGGCUAGUAUGAAUGGCUUGACGUGAAAUAUACUGUCUCAACUAUAUUUAGUAGAAUUUAACCUUUAGGUGAAGAGGCCUAAAUUUCGCGGGAAGACAAGAAGACCCUAUUGAGCUUUAAAUAUUUAUGUUAGUGGGAGCCUAAGAUUUAUAUGAUGGUCAUUACUUCUAAGUAUGUUGGUUGGGGCGACCGAGGAGUAUAAAGUAACCUCCUUGUAAUGUAAAGAAUUUGUUAUCAACGAACCDGUAAUAUAGGUUAUUCGGUAGUUACCAUAGGGAUAACAGCGUAAUUCUUUUGAAGAGUUCAUAUCGAAGAAAGAGAUUGCGACCUCGAUGUUGGAUUAAGGUGUCCUAAGGGU